This 617-nucleotide long non-coding RNA is filed under the name Solanum tuberosum (potato). RNAcentral's name for it is "long non-coding RNA (STUB_LNC003650)". Lineage: Eukaryota; Viridiplantae; Streptophyta; Magnoliopsida; Solanales; Solanaceae. The record is from RNAcentral.
ACAACUGUUAACGAUUUUAGAAAAGUAGAAUAAGGAUUAAGUUUUAGUAUAUCCAUGAGCUUUGUAACAAUCAUCUCAUUAAGAUUAUCUGAUAACGUCAUUCGAUUUGUUAGCUCAUUUUCGUUAUCAUAGAAAUAUAACUGUAAAUUUUUUCCUUUUCCUGCUGAGGGUAUCAAAUCAUCAAUGAAGUGAUACAUUUGUCCUUGGACUUUAAAUGUAUAGAUGCCACGAUUUCUCUUUGCUAAUUUUCUAUCAUAAUGUACUCCAAAUGAAGUGAAUGCAAACAUAUUAUUGUAGGCUCUACUGUAAGUGCGUAAAUGUUGACAUUCUUUCGAGUCACCCAAGAACAAAUUUCACAACUCAGUAGGCAUGUUAUGAGAAGUUAGUCUAAUUGAUCCAUUAUCACAACAAAAACCUGGAGAUUCAUAUUGAAACCUUUUUGCUGCACAAAAUUUGCAAUUUGGGACUUUCUUUAAAAGUAAGUAAUCUUUUGGCAAUAAAUUAUCAUUUUGUAGAUUGACUUCUAACUUAUUUCUACCUGUGCAUGGUAAAAACAAUUAUUUGUUAUAUAUAAGGCACGACAAUACAUGUUUUUUUAUUACUUUGGUAGAAAGAAG